RNAcentral lists this ribosomal RNA (1285 nucleotides) under metagenome. RNAcentral's name for it is "bacterial LSU rRNA". It matches the Rfam family "Bacterial large subunit ribosomal RNA", at positions 1630 to 2925 of the family's 2925-position model. The record is from RNAcentral.
UGUAUACACUACCCGUACCGCAAACCGACACAGGUAGUCGAGGCGAGUAGCCUCAGGUGAGCGAGAGAACUCUCGUUAAGGAACUCGGCAAAAUGACCCCGUAACUUCGGGAGAAGGGGUGCUGACUUUUAGUCAGCCGCAGUGAAUAGGCCCAAGCAACUGUUUAUCAAAAACACAGCUCUCUGCUAAAUCGUAAGAUGAUGUAUAGGGGGUGACGCCUGCCCGGUGCUGGAAGGUUAAGAGGAGGGUUUAGCGUAAGCGAAGAUCUGAAUUGAAGCCCCAGUAAACGGCGGCCGUAACAAUAACGGUCCUAAGGUAGCGAAAUUCCUUGUCGGGUAAGUUCCGACCCGCACGAAAGGCGUAAUGAUUUGGGCACUGUCUCAACGAGAGACUCGGUGAAAUUUUAGUACUUGUGAAGAUGCAGGUUACCCGCGACAGGACGGAAAGACCCCAUGGAGCUUUACUGCAGUUUGAUAUUGAGUAUCUGUACCACAUGUACAGGAUAGGUAGGAGCCUAUGAAAUCGGGACGCCAGUUUCGAUUGAGGCGCUGUUGGGAUACUACCCUUGUGUUAUGGCUACUCUAACCCGGUAGGUUAAUCAUCUACGGAGACAGUGUCUGACGGGCAGUUUGACUGGGGCGGUCGCCUCCUAAAAGGUAACGGAGGCGCCCAAAGGUUCCCUCAGAAUGGUUGGAAAUCAUUCGCAGAGUGUAAAGGUAUAAGGGAGCUUGACUGCGAGAGCUACAACUCGAGCAGGGACGAAAGUCGGGCUUAGUGAUCCGGUGGUUCCGUAUGGAAGGGCCAUCGCUCAACGGAUAAAAGCUACCCUGGGGAUAACAGGCUUAUCUCCCCCAAGAGUUCACAUCGACGGGGAGGUUUGGCACCUCGAUGUCGGCUCGUCGCAUCCUGGGGCUGUAGUCGGUCCCAAGGGUUGGGCUGUUCGCCCAUUAAAGCGGCACGCGAGCUGGGUUCAGAAAGUCGUGAGACAGUUCGGUCCCUAUCCGUCGCGGGCGUAGGAAAUUUGAGAGGAUCUGCUCCUAGUACGAGAGGACCAGAGUGGACUUACCGCUGGUGUACCAGUUGUCUCGCCAGAGGCAUCGCUGGGUAGCUAUGUAGGGAAGGGAUAAACGCUGAAAGCAUCUAAGUGUGAAACCCACCUCAAGAUGAGAUUUCCCAUAACAUUAAGUUAGUAAGAGCCCUGAGAGAAGAUCAGGUAGAUAGGUUGGAAGUGGAAGUGUGGCGACACAUGUAGCGGACCAAUACUAAUCGCUCGAGGACUUAUCCU